RNAcentral lists this ribosomal RNA (253 nucleotides) under uncultured bacterium. RNAcentral describes it as "partial 16S ribosomal RNA". It matches the Rfam family "Bacterial small subunit ribosomal RNA", at positions 524 to 776 of the family's 1533-position model. The record is from RNAcentral.
UACAGAGGGUGCGAGCGUUAAUCGGAAUUACUGGGCGUAAAGCGCACGUAGGUGGCGACGUAAGUCGGGUGUGAAAGCCCCGGGCUCAACCUGGGAAUUGCAUUCGAGACUGCAUUGCUGGAGUACGGAAGAGGAAGGCGGAAUUCCCGGUGUAGCGGUGAAAUGCGUAGAUAUCGGGAGGAACAUCAGUGGCGAAGGCGGAUCGCUGGGCCAACACUGACGCUGAUGUGCGAAAGCUAGGGGAGCAAACGGG